Molecule: RNA transcript, 2626 nt
Organism: Selaginella moellendorffii
Lineage: Eukaryota; Viridiplantae; Streptophyta; Lycopodiopsida; Selaginellales; Selaginellaceae
Gene name: pentatricopeptide repeat-containing protein At4g02750-like
Exons: 4
Source: RefSeq, a predicted model, not a curated record
UCUCGCUGAUGCUAAGCAGCGGCGGCGCUGCCAUCGACAAGCUCGGCAUCGUCUCGAUUCUCCGCCAAUGCGCGAGCACGCGCGCGAUCUCCGAUGGGCGGCGGAUCCACGGGCAGAUCGUGGCGGCGGGGCACGGCGGCGACACCCUGCUGUGCAAUCUCCUCGUCCAGAUGUAUGGCAGCUGCGGCAGCGUCGACGAGGCGAUGGCGGUGUUCCUGGACGCGCCCAGCCGCAAGAACAUCUUCUCCUGGAGUAUCGUCAUCACGGUUCUCGUCCACAACGGGGAGAUCUCCAUCGCCAGCGAGGUCUUCCGCAAGAUGCCCCAACACUCGCCCUUUUGCUGGAACUCGAUGAUCCAGGGGUUUGCUCGCAGCGAGCUCAUGGAGGAAUCCAAACUCGCGUUCGAUGCGAUGCCCCAACAGGAUCUCAUCGCCUGGACGACGCUUAUCACUGGAUUCGCCGCGACGGGACACUCGAUCCACGCGAAGAGGACGUUCGAUCGGAUGCCACAGCACGAUCUAGUCUCUUGCAACGCGAUGCUCACGGCAUUUGCCCAGAAUGGUCAUCUGGAAGAGGCGCACAGGCUGCGAGAGGAGAUGCCACACAAGGACGUGUUCUCCUGGAACACGAUGAUCAAAACCCUCGCGGAUCAGGGAUUGGCGAUCCAGGCGAGAUCGAUGCUCCAGAGAAUGCCCCAGCACAAUCUCGUCUCGUGGAACGCCGCGAUCCGGGUGUUUGCCAAGAGCGGGCAAAUCGCUAACGCGAAAGAGGUGUUUGAUUCGUCGUGCGAGAGGAACGUCGUGUCGUGGACGACGCUGGUGUCCGGAUUCGUCACCGCGGGCGCGAUCGAUCGCGCGAGAGUGAUCCUCGAUCGAAUGCCGCAGCAAAACUCGGUGUCCUGGAACAAUCUCCUCGCGGCGCACGGACAGAACAGGAGGAUCGAUCUGGCGCUGGCGGCGUUCCAGCGAAUCGAGGACAAGAACGUCUACUCGUGGAACUCGCUGAUCCAGGCGUUUGUGGAGGCCGAUCGAUUGGAGGACGCGAGGAGCCUGUUCGAGAGAAUGCCACAGCGGGGAUUGCCGUCGUGGAACUCGAUGAUCUCCGCCCACGGCGAGGCCGGCGAUUGCGCGGCCGCGCGAGAGAUCUUCCAGGCCAUGCCCGAUAGAAACCUAAUCUCCUGGAACGCGAUGGUCCAGGCGCUAGCCCUCGAGGGCCAUAUCCAAGAAGCUCGAGCGGUGUUUGACGCUGCCGGGAAUCGAAACGCGAACACCUGGACCACGAUGCUCGGGGCAUAUGCCUCGGGCGGGAGAACCGACGGUGCGAUGGGCGUCUUUCAAAAGAUGCCGUACCACGACACGGUGGCGUGGACGGCCAUGAUACACGCCCACGCCAAGGGCGGGGAUUUGCCCGCCGCGCGCCGGAUGUUCGACACGUGGCAAGGCAACCACGACGUUGUGGCCUGGAAUGCGAUGAUCGCUGGCUAUGCGCAGGACGGGCAUAGCGGGACGGCGCUAGGGUUCUUCAGGCUCAUGGAUCUGGAAGGGAUCACCCCGAAUUCUAUCAGCUUUGUGUGCGUGAUUGAUGCGUGCGCCACCGACGCCGCGAUUUCCAGGGGAAGAAUCGUGCAUUCGGUCAUCCGCCAGGACGAUCCGGCGCAGCUCAGGGUCUCGUUCGUCGCGAAUUCGCUGCUCAACAUGUACGCGAAGUGUGGCAAGCUGGAGGAGGCGCGCGCGGUGUUUGAUUCCAUGGCGUCCCCAAAUAUGAUGUCCUGGAACGCGAUGAUCUCGGCGUAUGCGCAAAACGGCCAUAGCUGGGACGCUCUGGAUCUCUCCCGCGCCAUGGAGCAGCACGGGAUCGAUCCAAACGGGGUCACAUUCGUCAGCAAUCUCUUCGCUUGCAGCCACGCCGGGCUCAUCGCGGAUGGAUGGAGAUAUUUCACAGCGAUCUCGCCAGAUUAUGGGCUGGAGGUGACGAUCGAUCACUACAUUUCGGUGAUAGAUCUACUGGGGCGCGCGGGGCAGACCGAUGAGGCCUGCGAAUUGAUGCACAGCAUGCCAUUCGAGCCGGAUUUUGCCGCCUGGACGACGCUCCUCUCCUCGUGUAAGACGAGCCUGGAGAACUAAAGUCCAUUUGCAAUGUAGCGACCUCCGUGGAUUACACAUUUACCUCCAGGUCCGAAGGUGGCAGCGAAACUAUACGGGAGCUUAUCUCGACAAACCAGCAACGAAUUUGAGCAAAAAGUUCGUGCGCUGCUCGACUAACAAAGUCCGCUGCUCGAUCAACAGAGUUUUGAUCGAUGAUCUGGAGCCACAGUGAAAAUUGGAUGUCUCAAGUAUGUAUUAUUAUUUCCUUGUGCUAUGCUCUUAUCUUACAUGUUAGGUAUGUAAAUACUGAGCUAAUAAGUCAGCUCAACGAGAUUUAAGUGUUCUGAUGACAGAGAUCAGAUUGAUCGUAACAUAAUGCCGGCGUGGCUUCCGCUCACGAAGAGUUCCUCGUGGAAAGGAUGCCAUGCCAAUGCUGCGUUUAGUUCACUUUAUGCUGUGAGUUGAAACACUUACCUUGAUUACUUAUCCCUUCAGCUAGUUAAUGCCCGAUUACCAUUGCUGUACUGUAUUUUUGUGUUAGC